UGCCUGUCCCUGUUACCUUUCAAUAAGACA
This 30-nucleotide non-coding RNA is filed under the name Mus musculus (house mouse). Lineage: Eukaryota; Metazoa; Chordata; Mammalia; Rodentia; Muridae. The record is from RNAcentral.